ACGCUGGCGGCAGGCCUAACACAUGCAAGUCGAACGCUCCGCAAGGGGAGUGGCAGACGGGUGAGUAACACGUGGGAACCUUCCCAUCGCUACGGAAUAGCUCAGGGAAACUUGGGGUAAUACCGUAUACGCCCGAAAGGGGAAAGAUUUAUCGGCGAUGGAUGGGCCCGCGGCUGAUUAGCUAGUUGGUGAGGUAACGGCUCACCAAGGCGACGAUCAGUAGCUGGUCUGAGAGGACGACCAGCCACACUGGGACUGAGACACGGCCCAGACUCCUACGGGAGGCAGCAGUGGGGAAUAUUGGACAAUGGGCGCAAGCCUGAUCCAGCCAUGCCGCGUGAGUGACGAAGGUCUUCGGAUUGUAAAGCUCUUUUGGCGGGGACGAUAAUGACGGUACCCGCAGAAUAAGCCCCGGCUAACUUCGUG
RNAcentral lists this ribosomal RNA (426 nucleotides) under uncultured bacterium. RNAcentral's name for it is "bacterial SSU rRNA". It matches the Rfam family "Bacterial small subunit ribosomal RNA", at positions 33 to 507 of the family's 1533-position model. The record is from RNAcentral.